UACGUAGGGUGCGAGCGUUGUCCGGAAUUAUUGGGCGUAAAGAGCUCGUAGGCGGUCUGUCGCGUCGAUCGUGAAAACUUGGGGCUUAACCCUGAGCUUGCGGUCGAUACGGGCAUGACUGGAGUUCGGCAGGGGAGACUGGAAUUCCUGGUGUAGCGGUGAAAUGCGCAGAUAUCAGGAGGAACACCGGUGGCGAAGGCGGGUCUCUGGGCCGAUACUGACGCUGAGGAGCGAAAGCGUGGGGAUCAAACAGG
Molecule: ribosomal RNA, 254 nt
Filed under: uncultured bacterium
Lineage: Bacteria
Description: partial 16S ribosomal RNA
Rfam family: Bacterial small subunit ribosomal RNA
Source: RNAcentral